GACGAACGCUGGCGGCGUGCUUAACACAUGCAAGUCGAACGGAAAGGCCCUGCUUUUGUGGGGUGCUCGAGUGGCGAACGGGUGAGUAACACGUGAGUAACCUGCCCUUGACUUUGGGAUAACUUCAGGAAACUGGGGCUAAUACCGGAUAGGAGCUCCUGCUGCAUGGUGGGGGUUGGAAAGUUUCGACGGUUGGGGAUGGACUCGCGGCUUAUCAGCUUGUUGGUGGGGUAGUGGCUUACCAAGGCUUUGACGGGUAGCCGGCCUGAGAGGGUGACCGGCCACAUUGGGACUGAGAUACGGCCCAGACUCCUACGGGAGGCAGCAGUGGGGAAUAUUGCACAAUGGGCGGAAGCCUGAUGCAGCAACGCCGCGUGCGGGAUGACGGCCUUCGGGUUGUAAACCGCUUUCGCCUGUGACGAAGCGUGAGUGGCGGUAAUGGGUAAAGAAGCACCGGCUAACUACGUG
This 468-nucleotide ribosomal RNA is filed under the name uncultured bacterium. RNAcentral describes it as "partial 16S ribosomal RNA". It matches the Rfam family "Bacterial small subunit ribosomal RNA", at positions 28 to 507 of the family's 1533-position model. The record is from RNAcentral.